AUGUCUGAUGACCUGAACCCUCUUUGGUAUCGUGAUGAUCUGUUUAUAUUUGCCCUCUGGAAAGAUUUGCUUCGGAGCCAUGGAGAGACUGUGUCCGACCAUGAUUUGUGGGAAUUUCUUGAAUUUGCAUAUGCUCAUGUUUUUUUCGGUUUUUCUACUUCCGUGAAACCACAGGCUUGGAAAUCUCUGUAUUUCUUUGUCAGGGAAAGCUCCAUACGAGAUUUCCCACACUGUCGACACGGGGUGCUUUAUUGUAAGAUUUUUCUGAUCGUCCGCAGCUGGUACCCAGUGGAGACGUUUGAAGAGCUGUGGUGGGAGUCCCCAGCACCCCGCAUAAACCCUUUAGAUCCCCCGCCACGGCCGAUCAGGGAUGAGCUUGAUGAAGAAUUGUUGCUCCGCGAGCCCCCCCUUCUGACCUUUUGUCUGGCGUUCAAAGGUUCUUCUGCCUCCUUGCGAGGGAAACUUCCUCUCACAGAGCGUGGGCCCCCCGUUUUCCCCUCGGAGGAGAUGGAGCCGCUCCCAGCCCCAGCGGAGCCGGAGACAACGCCUCCCUUGCCGGUCUGCCCGCCCGCAGCCGUGCUGCUCCCUCCUCUGCCCCAGCCAGAGCUGAGAGAAACACCCGCUGAGGAGACGCCGCUGCCACCUCCUCCCACUCUGGACGUGCAGCCAGGGCCCGCGUCAGGGCCGGUCUCGGAGCUGGCGGCCCCACCAGAGCCGGUCUUGGAGCCGGUGGCCACACUUCCGGCAGCAACAGAGGCGCCUCCAGGCCCUCGCGCCGGCCCAGAGCCUGUUCCCAGUGCAAGCUGUGAUGCUGGAGCAGACCCCCAGCCACACGCCCCGCUGCUGGCGGAGCCCACUCCACCGCCUUUGGAAAGCAGCGCCCCUGCCCCGCCGCCUCCAGUCAGCUCGGCGUCCCCUCCCAGCCAACCUGGGGCUGGCGCUGCCUGGCAGCUGUUUGCGGCUGCCGCGAAAGUGAAAAUUGUGAAGGAUUGAAAAGGAUUUUUAAAGAUGUCAAGAUUAACAUCUCCAGUCGAUGGACACCUUCUCCUGAGACUCAGCUGUUUGGACUUUGAGCCUUGAGCAUUCUUUUCAUUGUUGUUUGGGUUUUUAUAUUUUACAUUUUGGUUUAGAGAUUUGAUAGAUGUUUUUGCAGGUAAAGGAUUUCUUUGAACAUUCCACAUCAGUGUUUGAUUUGGCUUCUGAUUGAUAAUUAGCAAGUUGAUAAGGGGACCUCUUGAGAUGUUUUGUUUUCUUUUUGCAAGGGUCCUGCAGAAGAAUUGCAAAUGCAGAUUUUUAUUUUUUUAUUUAUACGGAAAGGGCGAUAUGUGGCAAGCACAUUUGUCUCACUCUUAGGAUUUUUCCUAGAGGUGCACAGAGAGAAAUGGAAGAGAAAACAAUUUCUAUUUCUGCUCCUUGUUUUUCCUAUGUGGAAUGUGUUUGGAGAAUUGUUUACCUGGAGUGCGUGCUUGAUUGGAUUCUGGUGAGGAUUGUUUGAGCCUGAUGGCCAAUCCAAUCCACCUGUGUCUGGACUCUCACAAGCAGGGUCAUGAGUUAGUUAGAUUAGAGUUAGAGUAGGAGAAAGUAGUAUGUAGUUUUUAGUAUCUUCCUUUUAUAUAGUAUAUUGAUGUAUUUUAUCAUAAUUAUAAUAAAGAAAUAAUUGAG
RNAcentral lists this long non-coding RNA (1662 nucleotides) under Chloebia gouldiae (Gouldian finch). Its description in RNAcentral is "Erythrura gouldiae (Gouldian finch) lncRNA (ENSEGOG00005009506.1)". Lineage: Eukaryota; Metazoa; Chordata; Aves; Passeriformes; Passeridae. The record is from RNAcentral.